This is a long non-coding RNA of Rosa chinensis, 658 nucleotides long. RefSeq lists it as uncharacterized. The transcript has 4 exons. Lineage: Eukaryota; Viridiplantae; Streptophyta; Magnoliopsida; Rosales; Rosaceae. The record is from RefSeq and is a predicted model, not a curated record.
CAACGUUUAUUUUUGACAGCCCAAACUCUUCUCCAACCGAUAUGUCUUUUCCACGUGGAUUAGACAUAUCCCUCUCCUCUGUCAAAUUUGACAGAUAGAAGAAGCUCUGUCAUUUAUUUUUUUUAUUGUUUCUCACUUUCUCCUUCUCCUUUCCCCGUCUUUCUUCCUUCAUCUCACCCAGAACUGAUGCUUUUGAAGCGUCUCUCUUUCUCCUUUCCCCUUCUUUCUUCCUUCAUCUCACCUAGAACUAAUGCUUUUGAAAUCCCGGUUCCAAUGAGCUAAUUAAAGGAACAUGGAUCAAAGUAAUUCAGAUUCAUCCUUGCCGUUACAAUAGCAGGUGGUUUGAUACAGCUAGGGAAAUGUUGAAAAAUGGAUGUGAGCUCUCAAACAGGACAACCCAAAAAGCAGAAGUUAUAUGGUUUCGUCACUAAGCUGCAUUGAUUUUUUUGUUCUUUUUCUGCAGAUGAGUUAAAUCAAUCACUAAGCUGCACAUUUGUUAAAUGCAGAUGAGUUGACCACCUACCAGAUUUGCAACAAAGAUGCAAAGAAGAUGUUUGAAGCACAAGAAAAGCUUCGGUUCAAUCUUGAUCAUGCUUGGAUUUCAAGCUGUUUAUGUUUCCUGCUAUGUAUUUCCAUAUCUCAAAUUCUCAUAAUCUCA